Molecule: long non-coding RNA, 2723 nt
Filed under: Sus scrofa (pig)
Lineage: Eukaryota; Metazoa; Chordata; Mammalia; Artiodactyla; Suidae
Description: lncRNA (ENSSSCG00050019469.1)
Source: RNAcentral
GGGCUCGGCGCGGACCCGCCCGGGCGCACUCCUCCCAGUGGCUCUCGGCGUCCCGGCGUCCCGCCGCCCUGCCCGGAGCCGGCCGCGGUCCCCUCUACCCCUGAGGGCACUCCCGGCACCCAGCACAGAGGCUCGCCCGGGGAGGUCGCGACGGGAGGCUGGCCCGCGGUGGCCCGCGGCUCGCCUACCCGCAGGUGUUCCUUUGAUACAGUGGAUGGUGACUCUGCUGUUCUGCCUGGGAGUGGUUCAAAAUGCUGACCACACUCCUGCUCCUGUUCCUGACCCAAGGAAGCCCCCAUGCAGAGCACCCGUGUCCUCUCUGAAUGGGACCAGCAGCUGGAUGCUGAGUACCAAUAGCAUCUGCCCUAUACCGAAUCCGAGGAAGGCCCUGAAGGUCCAGUAACUUGCCUUAGGGACACAGGUAAGACGGGACAGGGUCCAAAUGCACACUCAGUCCCACCUGUUUCCAAAGUCCUGGGGCCCAAUUAUGGUGCUAUCCAGCCACCUACCAGUCCAUACUGUAUUCCAGGGAACAGGCCUUGGGACUGCAGAGUUGGGGGCCCUCGAGGCCACCUGCUCAGGGCUGUCCCUCAACAGGUGAGGAAUCUGAAUAAGGGAGAAGCACAUAGGCUCAGCCACGUCCACCCGGGGAAGUUGGUGGCAGAGCCAGAGCAGAACCUGGGUGCCCUCUCCACCUUGGCUCUGAUAGAUCGUGAACCUCACAGGUAUGAUGAGGAUUCAGAGUUAGAGUAUACAAAGUACGUAGGACAGCACGAGGCCUGGACGUCCACAUCCUGCAGCCCCUGCCACCAAACUGUUCACCUGGGGAUCCUGCCUGACACAAGCAACCUGCAUGUGGUAGAAACCCUCAGCUUGGCAGAACUGCAGACCACAGCAGCCCCAGUGUCCAUGUUAUAGCCAAUGUCCCAGUAGAGAUUCUUUCACCAUAGAUGUAAGAAUCCAGACACUUCUGAAUUCGAAAACCAUGGUGAUUUAUGUGGUAUGGCCACGAUUGAUAAAAUAUUCAAAGUUCUAUCUAUCUCCCCCAACUCCAGCAAGAACUUUGGCAGAACUUCUGUGCCACAGGCAGUACUAAGGAACUUGCCAAUUUUGCAUCCUCAAAAUAAAACAGGUUCCAAGAUAGGUGGCAGAAAGUGGAAAAUGCAAUAUUUCUUGAUUGGGUAACUAAGAACCAUGCAGCAGGCAGGAACCAUUUGAGGCCAGAGAAAUGUUCAUUUAAAGGUGUUUACUGACACCUGGAGAUAGAGGUUAAACUGCAAAUGCUACUUUUAUGUUUGUUUGUGUUACAUAAUUUCAUAAUGGUGGUACAGUCCAGGGCAGCUACCAAAAUGAAAAUUCCAAAGUCAUAAUUUUACUGCUGCGUUUCUCCAGCAGAGACUUUCUAUACCUCCCAGGUGAAUCUUAGGAAGAGCCCUGGAGGGCAGCUGCCAGCCGAAGGGCAGGGCGGGGCGCUGUUUUCACCAUGACCACCUGAUCUCUUCUCAGCUCUGCUUGGUGUGCACGACUGCUCCACUCGUCCGCGUUAACUCUCAUGAUGUGUUUGGGAUGCGCUCCCCCUCUUUGUAGGACUGAGUCAGGGAGAUGUUCUCCCUCCUCGGAGGAUUCCAUUCUGAGCCCAGUCGCCUUAGUAGAUGCGGGAGCUACUCCACGUGGCCUUUGAGGUCUGGGUACCCUGGGCAAAUUGAGAGGGAGGGGGUCUUGGCAGAGUAACCACUCAGAACUCAAGGUAAGAACCGUCCAUCUCUGGUUUUUGUGUUUGGCAGUAGAGGCAUGGGAACCCCUGCAUUCCUCGCAUAUGAGUAUCAGGACUUGAGGAAAAGUCUGUACUCAGAACUUGGUUGCCAGUGGGGAGGGGGGAGGGGGAGGUAGAGGUAGGGGAUUAAGAGGUACAAACUGUUGGGUAUAAAAUGAGCUACAAGAGGCGUUCCCUUCGUGGCUCAGCAGUUAAUGAACAUGACUAGGAUCCAUGAGGAUGUGGGUUUGAUCCCUGGCCUCGCUCAGUGGGUUAAGGAUCUGGCUUAGGUGUAGAUCACAGAUGCAGCUCCAAUCCCAUGCUGCUGUGGCUGUGGUGUCAGCUGGCAGCUCUAGCUCCGAUUCUACCCCUAGCCUGGGAACUUCCAUAUGCCGUGGAUGUGGCCCUAAAAAGACAAAAAUAAGCUAGAAGGAUAUAUUGUACAAUAUGGGGAAUAUGGCACAUAUUUUAUAUAUAUUUCAAAAUUGCAAAUCACUAUAUUGCACACCUCUAGGAGUUCCCACUGUGGUGCAAUGGGAUCGGUGGUGUCCCGGAGCACCAGGACACAGGUUUGAUCCCCAGCCCAGCACAGUGGGUUAAGGAUCCAGCACUGCCGCAACUGUGGCACAGAUUCAAUCCCUGGCCUGGGAACUCCAUACAUGGGGUGGCCAAAAAAGAAAACAAAAUAAAAACCUAUACUUAUAAAAAGGAAAAGAAAAAUUAAGUAAAAAAUUGUUUAAAAAUUUUUUUUAAAACUUAUAUAUUAGGUUACUGUUCAACCUCCUAGGGUGGGGAAAACGCAAGCCAUGAGGGGUCGUAUUUCCCUCAGAGGGUUGUUGAAGGCAUAGACCCCUUUCCCAGACAAGCAUCAUUGCACAGAUGAGUGCAGGGCUCCUGAGAGCCACUGAUACCCACCCCUGACCCCAGGGCAAUAGGAAAGCUGGCAAAGGACACAACAACAACAAAAAAA